UUGUGGAGGAGGACGCCGAAGGUGGGGCUAAUGACUGGGGUGAAGUCGUAACAAGGUAGCCGUACCGGAAGGUGCGGCUGGAUCACCUCCUAACAGGGAGACAACAAAAUGUUUAAUAUUAUUAUUUUGUCACCUUAGGUCGAUCGGUAUCUCACGUUUUUAAUUUAUUAAGAAUUUCAUUUCCUAAGUUUUUCUAGGUCACACCCAUUAUUUUUCCUGGGCCAUUAGCUCAGGUGGUUAGAGCGCACCCCUGAUAAGGGUGAGGUCCCUGGUUCAAGUCCAGGAUGGCCCAUAUCUCUAUGUUGGGGGUAUAGCUCAGUUGGUAGAGCGCCUGCUUUGCAAGCAGGAUGUCAGCGGUUCGAGUCCGCUUACCUCCACUGAUUACCACCUCUUCCAUAAUUUAUAGAAGGAAAAUGUUUUGAGUCGUGAUCAAAUUCUGAACGAUUCUAGCUUCCUAAUGAAAUCAUUAAGAUGCUGGACUCAUUGAAUUAAUUUCAUUGUUUUCAGAGAACCUUGACAACUGCAUAGAUUAUUUUUAAAGACAAUAAGCAUCUUUAAUGAUGCAGAUUUAUUAUUUGUGCGAAUGCAUUAAUAACAAUUCUAUUAAGCUGAUGCUUCAAUUUUGAAGUUAUUGGUCAAGCUACAA
This 646-nucleotide unclassified non-coding RNA is filed under the name uncultured Prochlorococcus sp. RNAcentral describes it as "partial 16S-23S ribosomal RNA intergenic spacer; may also contain 16S ribosomal RNA and 23S ribosomal RNA". The stretch from base 305 to 377 matches the Rfam family "tRNA". The record is from RNAcentral. Lineage: Bacteria; Bacillati; Cyanobacteriota; Cyanophyceae; Synechococcales; Prochlorococcaceae.